AGUGGGGAAUUUUGGACAAUGGGCGCAAGCCUGAUCCAGCAAUGCCGCGUGAGUGAAGAAGGCCUUCGGGUUGUAAAGCUCUUUUGUCAGGGAAGAAACGGUAGAGGCUAAUAUCCUUUGCUAAUGACGGUACCUGAAGAAUAAGCACCGGCUAACUACGUGCCAGCAGCCGCGGUAAUACGUAGGGUGCAAGCGUUAAUCGGAAUUACUGGGCGUAAAGCGUGCGCAGGCGGUUUUGUAAGUCUGUCGUGAAAGCCCCGGGCUCAACCUGGGAAUUGCGAUGGAGACUGCAAGGCUUGAAUCUGGCAGAGGGGGGUAGAAUUCCACGUGUAGCAGUGAAAUGCGUAGAGAUGUGGAGGAACACCGAUGGCGAAGGCAGCCCCCUGGGUCAAGAUUGACGCUCAUGCACGAAAGCGUGGGGAGCAAA
Molecule: ribosomal RNA, 427 nt
Filed under: uncultured Massilia sp.
Lineage: Bacteria; Pseudomonadati; Pseudomonadota; Betaproteobacteria; Burkholderiales; Oxalobacteraceae
Description: bacterial SSU rRNA
Rfam family: Bacterial small subunit ribosomal RNA
Source: RNAcentral